RNAcentral lists this non-coding RNA (151 nucleotides) under bovine gut metagenome. The record is from RNAcentral.
ACCGCAAUUAAUUGGGAAUGGGGUGAAAAUCCCCGACUGUCCCGCAGCUGUGAGCUCCCUUUAAACUCUGAAGCGACAAUGCCAUUGCCUGUUAUAAGGUGAGAAGGCGUUUCAGGGUGGAGCAAAGUCAGAAGACCAGCCUCCGGCUCAU